UUUCCUUUAUCUCCUUUCUUAUUCACUUUCACGAGCGGGCAAAAUGAAUUUAGACAUUCUCCAAACUUUAUAUGGAAACUGCAAUCAAUCAUCAAUCAGUUGAAAAUCUUCUCCAAAAUUACGAAGACCUUUCCAUUAUUAUGGCUUAUAUACUCUCUAUGCUUGACCAGAGGAUUCAAACGCGAAUUGUAUUCUCCUUCAUGUUCAUCUUUUUUUCAUCAUCUGCAAAUCUGAAUCAUUGGGUUUCUCUGAGACCAUGACGGCUGCGGGUGUAGGUUCCGCCGGUGAGGUCAUGAUGAUUUUGAUGGUUCAGCAUGUAGUAAGUGGUUCGAUUUUGAUGGAAACGAUUGGGAUUUAGGGUUCCGAGGGCAACGAUGGUGACUCAUUCGUUGAUUGUUGUGUAGAUAGAUGAUCGAUUGAGCAGGCUACAAGUCUUCAAAGGGGAUUGGGAACUACACACACGAUUUGAGGUUGCAGCCUGACAGCGGAGAAAUAACAAGAUAACAAAAUGCUUAGAACCCAUGAAUUUGUGGAUGGAAAGAAUAGUUUAUUACAAAGUGAUUAAGGCUGAGAAUGUUAUCCGAGUUUGUGGAGUUUAGCCACUAAGUGUUCUUAUCAUAACUACGGGUUUUUAGGUAAAGUUUAUCAAUUACAUUGCUAUUUGGGGUUUUAAGUUUCAAUCCAGUCCGUAUAAUUUCUUCUCAUAAUCUCUCUAUUCCUUGCAUCGGUUUUUAGGUAAAAUUUAUCAAUUACAUCGCUUCAAAUUAUUAAUUUUGUGGUAGAUUUUUGUUAAUAUAAUCGUUAAUUUCAUGCUAGCUGUGAAUUUCGUUAUGAUGUUUGAUGAUUUGUUGUACGGUUUGUAGAUUAGGUUUUUGUAAUUUCAUCAAUAAUUCAGGUUUAUUAUUAUAUUUGUUGAUAUUUAACGAGUUUACGUUGCAGGGUGUUUAGCCCCUCUCUAAGCUUUUGGUUUUGACAAAUGGGUUCCGUUUGCUUGCCAAGAAAAGAUGAUACUUUAAACAUAUUGGUUUAAAGUAUUGGCCCAACAAUAUUGGUUUUGUACAUACUUUAAACAUAUUUUGGUUUUGUACACUUUAUCACCCGUGUAUUGGCCCAACAAUAUUGGUUUUGUGCUCAUCAGAGCGGUUCGCACCUCCUUCUGUGUUUCACAUCUUCUUAUGCUGGUACGUAUUUUAGGUUAUCAGUCGACGACACUGGUUUUUAAAUUGAUAUAAAUGAGUAUUAGAUCUUCACUUUCGUAUUAAAUCUUAUAAGUAUGUCUUUUUUAUUUCACCAGCAAUAUGAUUUUGCUUCAACCUUGACUGGGUUCUUGCACUGAUGUAAAUUGAUAUAAAUAAGCUUCUGUGCGUUGUGAUAUUGCUUUUUGGGAGGUGCAUUUUCAUUUACUAUGAUCUUAUUGCUUGAUUUUUUGAUGUUAUCUGUUCAAUAUGUACAUAUUGAAUUAUGAAAACUUUAGGUGAUCUAGAGAAUGAAUUGGCCAGUUAAGAAGCAAAGGUUACGAUAGGUAUACACUAUACACUUUCACAUUUCUUUACUUCUUUUAAAAGUCUUUCACUUUCACAUAUGAUAUCCAUCUUAAUGUUAUUUGAUUCAAAAGGUGUACAUACACUGAGAAGCUACAAUUGAUGGUUUGUUUUAAUACCAGUUUGAUAUUGAUAUUAUAGGUUUUGUUCUUAUUUCAUUGAAAAUUGUUUUCAUGACUUAAUACACGUUCAUCUGCAUAAGGGUCGGAGUAAUCCAGCGAAACUGGGGUGGUCAGCUGGUUUGGUUGACGGAUCAAAAUGUGUUCGGGUCAGAAGUCGUCCAACCCGUUUUUGAACAGAACAGUUUUGGGUCAAAUCAAGUUAUGAAAGAAAUGAGUUGGGGGUCAGCGUUUCGGGUAAUAAAAUAAGUUCGGGUCUGAACGGGUAUGAAAUAAAUGAGUUACGGGUAAGGGUUUAGGGUAACAAAACAGGUUCAGGUCAAAGCUGGUUAGGAGAUAGCUGAAUUAGCGUAGUUGUUUUGGAAAAAAAUCAUGUUGUUUUGGGUCCAAAUGGGUAAGGGCAAUAUGGAGUUGGCCUAGAAAAAGGUAAAAAAAAUAGAUCCAUUUGCUUUGUUUUUUUGUGAUGGCAACUGGCGUGCGUGGUAGUCUUAUUCUACUUUUUUUAUCAAAUCAAUUUUUCAAAAUCAUGUAUGUGUGAUAAAAUGAAUAAAAUUGUUGCUGAAAUGGCUAGGGUCUCUUUAAAUGUUGUUAAAGUUGCAUCUUUAUACAUGUUUUGCCUAACACAAGUUUGGGUUUAGUCUAAAUAGAUUUGGGUGGACUGAACUUGCAUACACGUUUAACUAUUUAAGGUCGCCAUUUUAAAAAAGUAUCAGAUUGGUUUGGUCAAAAGGGGUAAGGGUAACAAACAAGUUAAAUCGAAACAGCUAUUAUGGCUAAAUAUCAAUUUUUUUAUUCAAAAGGCUAUGAGUAAAAUGGGGUCGAGCUAAAAUGAGUCAUUUUUAGAAAAAGAAGUUACAGAAUAGCGAUGGAGGUAUUAUUCUAAGUUUAAGGGUGAAACUAAUUGGUUUUCAAAACUGCAUUUUUUUAAUUAAAUGGCUGCAAAAGUAUUUUUGUUAAAGGUUGAAUACAGAUAGGACAAAAGAAACACGUUUAUCGUUAUACAGGUUGAAACUGCCACAUUUACAAUUUUAGAACAAACAAGUGUUGUAUUGCUACAUUGUUUUAACUACUUGGUUGAUGAAAUUAGGCAAUGAAGAUGCUAAAAAGGUUCGGUUGCAUACAGUUGCACAAGCCGCUUAAAUGGGUUUAGUAGAAAAGAUGGUUGAUGGUUCAGGUUCUGAGGAUUCAAAUGAUGGCUCUUAAUGAGCGUGCUCCAGCCUCCAGCUAAAUUUAUUAGAAUGGCUGAGAUUGAGGAUCCAAUGAUGUGAAAAAGGUGAAGGUCAAUGGAGGUGAAGAAUGUGAAAUCCCAGCCCUUAUUUUAAAAAAAAAUUAAGACCUAUCAAAGAUCUUCUAGCACACUCAUGCCAUUUACCUAUUUAUGCAGAUUGUUAUGUUGUCAAGUUGUGCUAACAUUCAGAUAUUUUUACAUCUUAUUGCUUUAAUUAUGGUAACCACAUUUAGUUAUAUAUUCGUUCAUUGCAAGGUCUUGAUAGUGCUGGGGUUGAGAAAAUCCUUGACCUGGCUUCAAUAACCUUAAACAAGAAUUCUGGAGAUCACGCGUUGUAAUAUCUCGAUUUAAUGUGACAGGAGACAAAAGUGCACUUCUGCCAUGUGGCCUACGUAUCGACUCACCAGCUAUGAUAAUCCAUGGAUUCAUUGAACAAGAGCUCUUCUAUAUUGCCGAAUUUGUUCUGAUUUUGGUAUCCAACUAAUAUGUAUGCUACCAAUGGUGGUGGUGUGGUGUUGGCUGGAAAAGGCCAGAAACUGCAGUUGCAAGUGUAUUUGUCCAAACUGCAGACGUGUGGAUAAAUUUGGCACAUGUUCAUUUCACUCAACGCAAUUUUCAUUAGCCAUUAAAAUGAAUGAGCUUUGGAGUGCUUGAUACGAUACCAGUUGCAGAGUCUUUAAUUAAACUAUAGGCAAGAUGUGAGCUGUGUUGAAAGCCCGUUUAUUUUACGUUACGGAAGACAGACGAAAUUGAGAGGGAACUGGUUGCUGGUGCAGAUGUAUACAUGCCAGUACGUAGGCAUCACUAUGCAAGUGGGCAAGUGCUCAAAGAGAUUGCAGAAACUGUUCUUCAGACACACACUACUUAGUGUCGUUUGUUGUUAUUUAUAGAUUUAAUACAACAUUUCUUUCAUUUCAAAAAAUUAUUUAUAGACGUAUACAUGAUAAUUAAUAUGAAAUGUAAUCGUUAAUUAAUUUUUAUAAGAUAUUAUUUAUCUUAAUAUUCAAACAAACCUGUAAUAAAGUAUUUACGUAUUAAAGUAUA
Long non-coding RNA from Helianthus annuus (common sunflower), 3932 nucleotides. RefSeq lists it as uncharacterized. NCBI's taxonomy places the organism in Eukaryota, Viridiplantae, Streptophyta, Magnoliopsida, Asterales, Asteraceae. The transcript is spliced from 11 exons. The record is from RefSeq and is a predicted model, not a curated record.